Molecule: long non-coding RNA, 736 nt
Filed under: Volvox carteri
Lineage: Eukaryota; Viridiplantae; Chlorophyta; Chlorophyceae; Chlamydomonadales; Volvocaceae
Description: long non-coding RNA (VCAR_LNC002476)
Source: RNAcentral
GGUCCUCCAGGAGAAGUUUGGCAUUGUGAAGGGCACCAUGACCACCACCCACUCAUACACCGGUGACCAGCGCCUGCUGGACGCGUCGCACCGCGAUCUCCGCCGCGCUCGCGCUGCCGCCCUGAACAUCGUGCCCACCACCACCGGCGCUGCCAAGGCCGUGGCCCUGGUCCUGCCCCAGCUGAAGGGCAAGCUGAACGGCAUUGCUCUGCGUGUGCCGACCCCCACCGUCUCCGUCGUCGACCUGGUCGUGCAGGUGCGAAUUUGCAUCACUGUUUGCAGGCUAGUACGAUUUGGAUUUGGGAAUCAGCGACUUCAGCACACUUCAUAUCAUUGACCCAACUCCGGAUUUCUUCCCCUUACGCUGUGGUCUCUGCAUCCCUGUCAUGUCCAACCCCUCAGGUUGAGAAGAAGACCUUCGCCGAGGAGGUCAACGCCGCCUUCCGCGAGGCCGCUGCCGGCCCCAUGAAGGGUGUCCUCCACGUCGAGGACGCCCCUCUGGUGUCCAUCGACUUCAAGUGCACUGACCAGUCGACCUCCAUCGACUCGUCCUUGACUAUGGUCAUGGGCGACGACAUGGUCAAGGUCGUUGCCUGGUACGACAACGAGUGGGGCUACAGCCAGCGUGUCGUCGACCUGGCUGAGGUCACCGCCCAGAAGUGGGUGGCUUAAGGAGGAGGUUGCUUGAAUCUUUUCGGCCUUGCUGCUUUGGGAGUGCUCGCCGAUGAUCAACGUU